AAGGCGACGAUCCGUAACUGGUCUGAGAGGAUGAUCAGUCACACUGGAACUGAGACACGGUCCAGACCACUACGGGAGGCAGCAGUGGGGAAUAUUGGACAAUGGGCGAAAGCCUGAUCCAGCCAUGCCGCGUGUGUGAAGAAGGUCAAAGGAUUGUAAAGCACUUAAAGUUGGGAGGAAGGGCAUUAACCUAAUACGUUAGUGUUUUGACGUUACCGACAGAAUAAGCACCGGCUAACUCUGUGCCAGCAGCCGCGGUAAUACAGAGGGUGCAAGCGUUAAUCGGAAUUACUGGGCGUAAAGCGCGCGUAGGUGGUACGUUAAGUUGGAUGUGAAAUCCCCGGGCUCAACCUGGGAACUGCAUUCAAAACUGUCGAGCUAGAGUAUGGUAGAGGGUGGUGGAAUUAACUGUGUAGCGGUGAAAUGCGUAGAUAUAGGAAGGAACACCAGUGGCGAAGGCGACCACCUGGACUGAUACUGACACUGAGGUGCGAAAGCGUGGGGAGCAAACAGGAUAAGAUACCCUGGUAGUCCACGCCGUAAACGAUGUCAACUAGCCGUUGGGAGCCUUGAGCUCU
This 578-nucleotide ribosomal RNA is filed under the name Pseudomonas fluorescens. RNAcentral describes it as "bacterial SSU rRNA". It matches the Rfam family "Bacterial small subunit ribosomal RNA", at positions 270 to 840 of the family's 1533-position model. The record is from RNAcentral. Lineage: Bacteria; Pseudomonadati; Pseudomonadota; Gammaproteobacteria; Pseudomonadales; Pseudomonadaceae.